This 104-nucleotide ribosomal RNA is filed under the name Xenopus laevis (African clawed frog). The record is from RNAcentral. Lineage: Eukaryota; Metazoa; Chordata; Amphibia; Anura; Pipidae.
GCCUACAGCCACACCACCCUGAAAGCACCUGAUUUCGAAAGCGAUGCCGGGCCUGGUUAGUACCUGGAUGAGAGACCACCUGGGAAUACCAGAUGUCGUAGGCU